UACGGGAGGCAGCAGUGGGGAAUAUUGCACAAUGGGCGCAAGCCUGAUGCAGCCAUGCCGCGUGUAUGAAGAAGGCCUUCGGGUUGUAAAGUACUUUCAGUCGUGAGGAAGGCGUUAAGGUUAAUAACCUUAGCAAUUGACGUUAGCGACAGAAGAAGCACCGGCUAACUCCGUGCCAGCAGCCGCGGUAAUACGGAGGGUGCGAGCGUUAAUCGGAAUUACUGGGCGUAAAGGGCACGCAGGCGGUUAAUUAAGUUGGAUGUGAAAUCCCCGGGCUUAACCUGGGAAUGGCAUUCAAGACUGGUUAGCUAGAGUCUUGUAGAGGGGGUAGAAUUCCAUGUGUAGCGGUGAAAUGCGUAGAGAUGUGGAGGAAUACCGGUGGCGAAGGUGGCCCCUGGCAAAGGACUGACGCUCAUGUGCGAAAGCGUGGGGAGCAAAC
This 439-nucleotide ribosomal RNA is filed under the name uncultured bacterium. Its description in RNAcentral is "bacterial SSU rRNA". It matches the Rfam family "Bacterial small subunit ribosomal RNA", at positions 340 to 773 of the family's 1533-position model. The record is from RNAcentral.